AGCAGUAGCCGCGGGAAUACGUAGAUGGCAAGCGUUGUCCGGAAUUAUUGGGCGUAAAGCGCGCGCAGGCGGUUUCUUAAGUCCAUCUUAAAAGCGUGGGGCUCAACCCCAUGAGGGGAUGGAAACUGCCAAUCUAGAGUAUCGGAGAGGAAAGUGGAAUUCCUAGUGUAGCGGUGAAAUGCGUGGAUAUUAGGAAGAACACCAGUGGCGAAGGCGACUUUCUGGACGAAAACUGACGCUGAGGCGCGAAAGCCAGGGGAGCGAACGGGAUUAGAUACCCCCGUAGUCCCUGUCUCUUAUACA
Molecule: ribosomal RNA, 303 nt
Filed under: uncultured bacterium
Lineage: Bacteria
Description: partial 16S ribosomal RNA
Rfam family: Bacterial small subunit ribosomal RNA
Source: RNAcentral